RNAcentral lists this signal recognition particle RNA (266 nucleotides) under Tumebacillus amylolyticus. RNAcentral describes it as "signal recognition particle sRNA large type". It matches the Rfam family "Bacterial large signal recognition particle RNA". From Rfam's summary of the family: The signal recognition particle (SRP) is a universally conserved ribonucleoprotein involved in the co-translational targeting of proteins to membranes. Archaeal SRP consists of a 7S RNA and homologues of the eukaryotic SRP19 and SRP54 proteins. In most bacteria, the SRP consists of a 4.5S RNA and the Ffh protein (a homologue of the eukaryotic SRP54 protein). The record is from RNAcentral. Lineage: Bacteria; Bacillati; Bacillota; Bacilli; Caryophanales; Alicyclobacillaceae.
UCGCGCUAGACGGGGAGUUAGCGGUGCCCUGUAACCCGCAAUCCGCUACAGCGGGGUCGAUGUUCGGUCGAGGGUUCGUUCCUAAGAGGACGGCCGUCGGAAACAGUGGUGUUGAGGAUUGGGUCCUGCGCAACGCAGCCUCCUGAAUCGUGUCAGGUCCGGAAGGAAGCAGCACUAAGGGAAUCGUUGUGUGUGCCGCAGGGUCGCCUGGUCGGAGCCGCUGUCGACGGUACGCUUUGAGGUCGGAUUCGGAGCCGAAUGCACGA